Molecule: ribosomal RNA, 829 nt
Filed under: uncultured bacterium
Lineage: Bacteria
Description: bacterial SSU rRNA
Rfam family: Bacterial small subunit ribosomal RNA
Source: RNAcentral
UUNUGAACUGGGUGACUAGAGUGUGUCAGAGGGAGGUAGAAUNCCACGUGUAGCAGUGAAAUGCGUAGAGAUGUGGAGGAAUACCGAUGGCGAAGGCAGCCUCCUGGGAUAACACUGACGUUCAUGCCCGAAAGCGUGGGUAGCAAACAGGAUUAGAUACCCUGGUAGUCCACGCCCUAAACGAUGUCGAUUAGCUGUUGGGCAGCAUGACUGCUUAGUAGCGAAGCUAACGCGUGAAAUCGACCGCCUGGGGAGUACGGUCGCAAGAUUAAAACUCAAAGGAAUUGACGGGGACCCGCACAAGCGGUGGAUGAUGUGGAUUAAUUCGAUGCAACGCGAAGAACCUUACCUGGUCUUGACAUGUACGGAAUCCUCCAGAGACGGAGGAGUGCCUUCGGGAGCCGUAACACAGGUGCUGCAUGGCUGUCGUCAGCUCGUGUCGUGAGAUGUUGGGUUAAGUCCCGCAACGAGCGCAACCCUUGUCAUUAGUUGCCAUCAUUAAGUUGGGCACUCUAAUGAGACUGCCGGUGACAAGCCAGAGGAAGGUGGGGAUGACGUCAAGUCCUCAUGGCCCUUAUGACCAGGGCUUCACACGUCAUACAAUGGUCGGUACAGAGGGUAGCCAAGCCGCGAGGCGGAGCCAAUCUCACAAAACCGAUCGUAGUCCGGAUUGCACUCUGCAACUCGAGUGCAUGAAGUCGGAAUCGCUAGUAAUCGCAGGUCAGCAUACUGCGGUGAAUACGUUCCCGGGUCUUGUACACACCGCCCGUCACACCAUGGGAGUGGGGGAUACCAGAAGUAGGUAGGGUAACCGCAAGGAGCCCGCUUA